RNAcentral lists this unclassified non-coding RNA (199 nucleotides) under uncultured fungus. Its description in RNAcentral is "sequence contains ITS1, 5.8S rRNA gene". The record is from RNAcentral. Lineage: Eukaryota; Fungi.
CCAAUUCUUUGGGUCAAAUUAGGUAACUUUUUGACCCAAAAAACAACCCCUUGUGAACCUUAAAACCGUAUUUUGGCGGCCCUCCAAACCGUAGUUUACUACCUGGGCCGUCAGCUAAAUAAAAACACCCAUGAUAACUUUUGUAUUACCAUGUCUCCAAAAGAUUCUCCUAGUGAAUCUUGUUUAAUUAAACCUUAAA